Molecule: ribosomal RNA, 350 nt
Filed under: uncultured bacterium
Lineage: Bacteria
Description: bacterial SSU rRNA
Rfam family: Bacterial small subunit ribosomal RNA
Source: RNAcentral
UAUGGUUAAUAGCAUACUCAUUUGACGUUAGCUGCAGAAGAAGCACCGGCUAACUCCGUGCCAGCAGCCGCGGUAAUACGGAGGGUGCGAGCGUUAAUCGGAAUUACUGGGCGUAAAGCGCAUGCAGGUGGUUUGUUAAGUCAGAUGUGAAAGACCCGGGGCGUCAACCUCGGAAUUGCAUUUGAAACUGGCAAACUAGAGUACUGUAGAGGGGGGUAGGAAUUUCAGGUGUAGCGGUGAAAUGCGUAGAGAUCUGAAGGAAUACCGGUGGCGAAGGCGGCCCCCUCGGACAGAUACUGACACUCAGAUGCGAAAGCGUGGGGAGCAAACAGGAUUAGAUACCCUGGUAG